AGAUUAAGUUAUUAAGGGCGAACGGUGGAUGCCUUGGCACUAGAAGCCGAUGAAGGACGUUACUAACGACGAUAUGCUUUGGGUAGCUGUAAGUAAGCGUUGAUCCAGAGAUUUCCGAAUGGGGGAACCCAGCAUGAGUUAUGUCAUGUUAUCGACAUGUGAAUUUAUAGCAUGUCAGAAGGCAGACCCGGAGAACUGAAACAUCUUAGUACCCGGAGGAAGAGAAAGAAAAAUCGAUUCCCUGAGUAGCGGCGAGCGAAACGGGAAGAGCCCAAACCAACAAGCUUGCUUGUUGGGGUUGUAGGACACUCUAUACGGAGUUACAAAAGAACAUGUUAGACGAAUCAUCUGGAAAGAUGAAUCAAAGAAGGUAAUAAUCCUGUAGUCGAAACAUAUUCUCUCUUGAGUGGAUCCUGAGUACGACGGAGCACGUGAAAUUCCGUCGGAAUCUGGGAGGACCAUCUCCUAAGGCUAAAUACUCUCUAGUGACCGAUAGUGAACCAGUACCGUGAGGGAAAGGUGAAAAGUACCCCGGAAGGGGAGUGAAAGAGAACUUGAAACCGUGUGCUUACAAGUAGUCAGAGCCCGUUAAUGGGUGAUGGCGUGCCUUUUGUAGAAUGAACCGGCGAGUUACGAUCUGAUGCAAGGUUAAGCAGCAAAUGUGGAGCCGCAGCGAAAGCGAGUCUGAAUAGGGCGUUGAGUAUUUGGUCGUAGACCCGAAACCAGGUGAUCUACCCUUGGUCAGGUUGAAGUUCAGGUAACACUGAAUGGAGGACCGAACCGACUUACGUUGAAAAGUGAGCGGAUGAACUGAGGGUAGCGGAGAAAUUCCAAUCGAACUUGGAGAUAGCUGGUUCUCUCCGAAAUAGCUUUAGGGCUAGCCUCAAGUGAUGAUUAUUGGAGGUAGAGCACUGUUUGGACGAGGGGCCCCUCUCGGGUUACCGAAUUCAGACAAACUCCGAAUGCCAAUUAAUUUAACUUGGGAGUCAGAACAUGGGUGAUAAGGUCCGUGUUCGAAAGGGAAACAGCCCAGACCACCAGCUAAGGUCCCAAAAUAUAUGUUAAGUGGAAAAGGAUGUGGC
Molecule: ribosomal RNA, 1082 nt
Filed under: Staphylococcus epidermidis
Lineage: Bacteria; Bacillati; Bacillota; Bacilli; Caryophanales; Staphylococcaceae
Description: bacterial LSU rRNA
Rfam family: Bacterial large subunit ribosomal RNA
Source: RNAcentral